GUCGCCUGCGGAACGAGAGCCGGCCGCCUCCUCCCUUGGCUCGGCGGCGGCUGCAGAAGAGAAGCGGCGACUGGUGCACGGAGCCGCGCGGCCGGCCGCUGCCUCACUCCAUUGGAAUGUCUGAGAAAGAGAAAAGAAAAUGAAACUUCAAGAAGAGGAAUGAAGAGGCAGGAGGAAGGACAAACUGGAGAAAAAAAUACAGAUAACCUUCAACAUACUAUAUACUAUUAUAGUUUGUUUAAUGCCCAUUCAAAGUUACACCACCAGUGAAAAAAGUGAUUUAUGACCAUUUUUCACAUUUACAACCGUGGCAGCAUCCCCAUGAUCCAGUGGUGGGCUGCCCCCGGUUCGCACCGGUUCUAUAGAACCGGUAGUAAAACCAGCGGGAGGCUCCGCCCACCGACUCUGACAUCAUUGCCCACCGAUUCCGACAUCACCGAAAACACAGAAGAGCGCACGGCCCCGCUGCAAACCGGCAGUAAAGGUCACUGCAUUCAUCCGAAUUUUAUCCAAGACAGUGAGUGAUGAAGCCUUAAAUGAUCGUAUACAUCUUGAGGUUGCACUUGGAUGAUAGCCAAAGAAGAAAAUGCUACUUUUGACAUCUAAGAGCAAUUUAAGUGUACCUCACACAUAGGCUGGGGAAGAGAUAAAAGCAACAUCAUAGAUGUGAACUUGGAAUUAUCUGUCCCUGUACAGUGUCCCUUAUUUAUUAGUCAAAUUUAUAGCAGCCCAUCUCAAAGAAAGUGACUCGGCCACAUAUAACAAUCCAAUAAAACAGUAAAAACCC
This is a long non-coding RNA of Pantherophis guttatus, 787 nucleotides long. RefSeq lists it as uncharacterized. The record is from RefSeq and is a predicted model, not a curated record. NCBI's taxonomy places the organism in Eukaryota, Metazoa, Chordata, Lepidosauria, Squamata, Colubridae.